Molecule: ribosomal RNA, 253 nt
Filed under: uncultured bacterium
Lineage: Bacteria
Description: partial 16S ribosomal RNA
Rfam family: Bacterial small subunit ribosomal RNA
Source: RNAcentral
UACGUAUGGUGCAAGCGUUGUCCGGAUUUACUGGGUGUAAAGGGAGCGCAGGCGGCACGGCAAGCCUGAUGUGAAAGCCCGCGGCCCAACCGCGGGACUGCAUUGGGAACUACCGGGCUGGAGUGCUGGAGAGGUAGGCGGAAUUCCUAGUGUAGCGGUGAAAUGCGUAGAUAUUAGGAGGAACACCAGUGGCGAAGGCGGCCUACUGGACGGUGACUGACGCUGAGGCUCGAAAGCGUGGGGAGCAAACAGG